This 4533-nucleotide ribosomal RNA is filed under the name Triticum aestivum (bread wheat). RNAcentral's name for it is "partial small subunit ribosomal RNA". The record is from RNAcentral. Lineage: Eukaryota; Viridiplantae; Streptophyta; Magnoliopsida; Poales; Poaceae.
AUGGCCACCGCGACCUCUACCUCCUGCAGGAUAGCGGGCACCGAGGUCCCCAUCACGGGCUCGGACAAGCUGCGGUGGAUCGACCUCACCGUCCCCUCACCCCCCUCCCCAGCGCCGGCGAGCCCCGCCGACCCAUUCGUCUCCGUGCCCCCGCGCGCCGCCUCGGGGUGCCACGUCGUGUUCUCCGGCCGCGACUCCCAACGCUACCUCGCCUGGAGGAUUCACGAAGAACACCAAAAUGUGCUAGAGGUCAUUGAACUCUGUGCUUUGAAGGAGUUCCCAAGCUCUGGACUGCGUUUGGUAUUCCAGGAGGCGCUAUGUCCAUUUGCUUUUAUGUGUGAAAGUGAGGGUGCCAGGCGAGGCGAGUCUGUAUAUCUGCUAUAUGUGCUCACUAUUUCUGGAGUUGCCAUUCUGUGCAACUUGCGCAGCCCAUUUUCCUAUGUAUCUGGUUCAAUACUGUCUCAAAAUGACGUAGUUGGAUUUAAUCUUCAAACCCACACACAGAGUGCUAAGGUUACAGCUGUUAAAGCGAAGCCAGGAUGUCUAGUAAUUGGGCGGCAAGAUGGGUCAAUCUGCUGUUACAGUCUUGGCAAAUUAGCUCCUAGUUCACCAGGUUUCUCUAAUGAGCUCCGUGAUGAUGCUGGAAUCGGGCGUUUGUGGACUCUCAUGUCGAGAACAAAGGCUCUGGGGCCUGUACAAGAUAUUGACACAGCUACUGUAAAUGAAAGGGAGCUGUUAUUUGUUCUUCAUCUGGAUGGAAGUUUGCGUGUCUGGGAUAUUUCUAGUCAGACGAAACUUGUUAAUUAUAAUGUUCACUUGGAUGAUUUUGAAGGGCAACCCUCUAGGCUAUGGGUUGGUGAGGCUGAUGAUGAUCAAGAACUGAUAUCCUUGGCUGUUCUGCACCAAGGGACUGCGGUUCCAGCUUGUGAUCAUAUUGCUAUAUAUGCCUUCAGUUUUGGUGCUGGCGAAAGAUUCUUGUUGUCUCCUGAACCUUCGGUUUCUGCCGUACCUUUGAUAGAGGGAAAGAUCGUUGAUUUGAAAAUAAGCACGGAAAAGCUUUGGAUACUUAAAGAAGUUGGACCAAUGCUCUAUGAAAUAGUGCAGUAUAACUCUGAUAGCGAGGAAAUAUGUUCAUAUGUGCUACAAGAAGACGCUAUCAGUGAGCAAAUGUUCCAAAGUUCUGAGAGUGCAUUGGACGAUUUGGUUUGGACUGCUGAUUCAGUAUUCUCAUCUAUGAAGGAGCAUAGUUUCAGUUUUAUCUCAUCCAUGUUUCUGCGGAGGCUGCUGCAACCAGGAGUGAACCACUGUUCUGCUCUCCGUGAAACCUUAUUGGAGUACAAAAGGUUUCUAUCCGAUUCUGAGUUUCAGUCGCUUACAACUAGUGGGCUGCGGAAAGAAAUAUUAUCCAUUAUAGAACAAGAGGGAAGUUCUCAGGUCGCAAGUUCUACUGUUUAUCACUGGAAAAAGUUUUCUGCACGGUAUCUCCACAACUGGUGCUGGAAUAAUAGGCCAUAUGGGUUGCUUCUUGAUACGAACAGUGAAGUGUUUGGUUUAAUUAGAAAGGGUUCAUUUUCUCUCUUCCGUUGUUUGGAGGGUGUGGAGCAACUUAUUUAUGGUUCCUCUGAUGACUUGGGAAAUCUCAUUGGCCUCGGGAUGAACUUAUCGAAUGAUACUGACGGUGAAACCCUUAUUGAAGUUCUCAGGUGCAUGGGCCAUAUAAACCAUUUGCUUGGGAGAUCUUCUGCUGCAAUAUAUUACGAGUCCCUCAUCAGUUCUGUUACAUCACCAGAUGAAGUUACUUCUCAGAUAUUAAAGAUUCUAGAGAGUGGGUUCAGUCCUCAAUCUUCGUCGCCCCUCAUUACAUUGCUUGGAACAGAUGCUUAUGUAGAAAGAAGGCAGAUGGCUCACAAAAGCCAAAGGAAGUUUUCUGUUGAGAUGCUACUAUCUUUCCAUAAGUUGCAAUCAAGAUCCACAUCCUGGUCGGCAGUAUUUGAUGUGAUUGAUAAGUUCAUGAAGUGUUUGGAUACAAAGGUCACUAUACAAGAGUUUGAAUUGAGAAGACUUUAUAAUGUAAAUUCUGCCUUAGUGGUUCAGGCUACUUCACAGGUUGCAAGAACCAUGUUUGAGGCUGCUUUUGAUCUAUUUCUGUUCCUCAGUUAUUUGGUUGGUGUCGGUGGGCAGGUCUCCUUGCUGCAAAGCGAUGUUGCUAGAAUCAAACUGCAGUUGUUUCCAAUGAUUCAAGACAUACUGGGACAGUGGAUCGUUCUCCAUUUUGUGGGAAUUUCACCAACCACACCACCAACCAUCGAGGAUUUCAGCUAUCAACUUUCUUCCCUCCAGCUAGGUAUAGCCGAUGAGCGGUCUUUGCACAGAAAGCUUGGAUCCUCUGAUUUUACAUUGGCUUGUUUGCUUGAUUUUCCUAAAUCUGCGGAAGGGGAUGAUCUGUCACCUUGUUUUCCUAGUCCAACCGAGGUAAUCAACUUGGUCAGGAGGUUUAGCAGUUCGAUUAUGUGCAGAAAUAGUGUUGACUGUGUAGACAGCUUCUUGGGUUCCACAAUAAAUCUGGCAGCAGUUUUCAUCCGACAUGGUCAAUAUGAAGCUGCUCAGAAUCUGCUGGGCAUUCUUGAAACAUACUUGGGCUAUGCGAGAGCAUCCCAAACUGAUCAGGAUACUGAUAUUGCAUGUUUGGCUCGCCUACAUCUCAGUGGAUUUUGCCUUUUGAUGCUCGCACAUGAUGAAGCAAACAUUGUUUUGAGAGAAUCCAAGGUUCAGGAAGCUAUCAGAUGCUUCUUUAGAGCUGCAUCUGGGCAAGAAGCUCCGAAGGCGCUGAAGAAGUUCUCUUCUGAAACAGGGUUUCAAAUUUCUGGGGAGUGUAGAUCUAUUUCUUUAUGGAGGCUUCAUUACUACGAGUGGGCAAUGCAAAUUUUUGAGCAAAACUCAAUGAGGGAGGGAGCAUGCCAGUUUGCUCUCGCUGCUCUUGAACAAGUUGAUAGCAUUGAUUUGGACAAUGGAAAUGAAGCCGAGGAUCUCCCAGAGACUACAGCGAUGAUUAAAGGACGACUAUGGGCCAAUGUAUUCAAGUACAGCUUGGAUUUGAAAAACUUUCGAGAUGCGUAUUGUGCUAUAAUCUCAAAUCCAGAUGAUGAUAGCAAGUAUGUCUGCUUGAGGCGUUUCAUCAUAGUUCUUUGUGAGCUUGGCGAGACUAAGGUCAUUUGCAAUGGUGAGAUACCAUUCACUGGUUUGGUGGAAAAGGUGGAGCAAGAGCUCUUCUGGAAGGCUGAGCGCUCAGAUCUAUCUUCUAAACCAAAUCUAUACAAAGUCCUUUAUUCAUUUGAAGCUUAUAGGAACAAUUGGAGGAAGGCAGCUGGAUGCAUGUACAGGUAUUUUGUUAGAUUGAGUAGAGAGGGGGAAGCAGGUGGAGGCCGCCAACUCACUCAUGUAUUACAAGAGAAGUUGCAUGCUUUGUCUACUGCUAUCAACUCGUUGCAGCUUGUUGAACCCUCAUGUGCCUGGCUCGAUUCGGUUUGUGAAGCUGAUGAUCAAAUUUCGCCAAGCAAAAAGCCUCGUAAUCUUUUGAUGGAGAACUCUGCUUUUGGCACAGAUUCAGAACUCUCUACAUUGCAGUUUUGUGUUGACAUUGAAAUUCUUGAAAAGGAAUACACACUAACAGAAGCACUUUAUAUGCUUAGUACUGUAAAUUCUAAAUCCAAAAUUUCUGAAAGCUAUUCUAUUGAAGCCUUGACUGACAUUCUUGUAAAUGAGAAUUUGUAUGACCUGGCAUUCACCAUCGUACUGAAAUUUUGGAAGGAGUCAGGAAUGAAAAGAGAAUUGGAGCGUGUCUUUGCAGCUAUUGCACAGCAAUGCUGCCCAAACAGAGUAGGCAGCUCAGGGAGAAAUUUGACUGACACUCAACAGCUGCUACUUCUGCCUUCUUCCGAGGAUGAUGGAUGGGAUGGCAAUAGCAAGACUAUUGCUGUGGCCCAUCAAGUGCAGGGAAGUUGCCAGUGGGAAACUCUUGAACUAUAUUUGGAUAAAUAUAAAGAUUUGCAUCCAAGGCUGCCUGUCAUUGUUGCUGAAACACUUCUUUACACUGAUCCUGAGAUUGAGCUACCUCUUUGGCUGGUUCAGAUGUUCAAGACCACCAAGGGUGGAAAUAGGAUGAUUUCAUGGGGAAUGUCUGGCAAAGAGGCAGAUCCAGCUGCAUUAUUUCGACUAUAUACAAAUUAUGGCCGGCACACAGAAGCAGCCAACUUGUUGGUGGAGCACCUCGAUUCUUUUGCUUCAUCGAGACCGAUGGACGUGCUGCACCGCAAAAAGAUGUCGGCCGCCUGGUUCCCGUACACCACUGUCGAGAGGUUUUGGUGUCAGCUUGAAGAGAUGCAAAGUGCUGGCCACAGUGCUGAUCAGUGUGAUAGGCUCAAGAAGUUGCUGCAUGGAGCCCUGAUGAACCACCUGCAGCAAGUUGUCGUCGAUUCAGAAGACGUACUGUCAUCAGUUGGAGGAGGUCAAGGAGUGGAGAGCCAAAGCAGCUGA